Long non-coding RNA from Hipposideros armiger (great roundleaf bat), 184 nucleotides. RefSeq lists it as uncharacterized. The transcript is spliced from 3 exons. The record is from RefSeq and is a predicted model, not a curated record. NCBI's taxonomy places the organism in Eukaryota, Metazoa, Chordata, Mammalia, Chiroptera, Hipposideridae.
AGGUACAGCAUGGACUAUAUUUUUAGUGGUGCUCUCUGAGGAUAAAGUGUUUCACUUAGAAGAAAUGAAUUACCCUGAAAAGAGAAGAAAUGAGACUUUAGAAACCAAAGGACAAUUUGAAAGGCACCAUCAGGAAAUGGACUGUCUGCCGUAACUGAGCCAUCCUGCAACCUGUUGGCAGCUC